Molecule: ribosomal RNA, 227 nt
Filed under: uncultured eukaryote
Lineage: Eukaryota
Description: partial 18S ribosomal RNA
Rfam family: Eukaryotic small subunit ribosomal RNA
Source: RNAcentral
GGGAAACUCACCAGGUCCAGACACAAUAAGGAUUGACAGAUUGAUAGCUCUUUCUUGAUCUUGUGGUUGGUGGUGCAUGGCCGUUCUUAGUUGGUGGAGUGAUUUGUCUGGUUAAUUCCGAUAACGAACGAGACCUUAACCUGCUAAAUAGACCAGCCGGCUUUGGCUAGCUGCUGUCUUCUUAGAGGGACUAUCAGCGUUUAGCUGAUGGAAGUUUGAGGCAAUAA